UACGGAGGGUGCAAGCGUUAUCCGGAAUCAUUGGGUUUAAAGGGUCCGCAGGCGGUCUAAUAAGUCAGUGGUGAAAGCCUACAGCUCAACUGUAGAACUGCCAUUGAUACUGUUAGACUUGAAUUCGGUCGAAGUGGGCGGAAUGUGACAUGUAGCGGUGAAAUGCUUAGAUAUGUCACAGAACACCGAUAGCGAAGGCAGCUCACUAGGCCGACAUUGACGCUCAGGGACGAAAGCGUGGGGAGCAAACAGG
This 253-nucleotide ribosomal RNA is filed under the name uncultured bacterium. RNAcentral describes it as "partial 16S ribosomal RNA". It matches the Rfam family "Bacterial small subunit ribosomal RNA", at positions 524 to 776 of the family's 1533-position model. The record is from RNAcentral.